Molecule: ribosomal RNA, 405 nt
Filed under: uncultured bacterium
Lineage: Bacteria
Description: bacterial SSU rRNA
Rfam family: Bacterial small subunit ribosomal RNA
Source: RNAcentral
ACUCCUACGGGAGGCAGCAGUGGGGAAUCUUAGACAAUGGGGGCAACCCUGAUCUAGCCAUGCCGCGUGAGUGAUGAAGGCCUUAGGGUUGUAAAAGCUCUUUCAGUCGUGAAGAUAAUGACGGUAGCGACAGAAGAAGCCCCGGCUAACUCCGUGCCAGCAGCCGCGGUAAUACGGAGGGGUUAGCGUUGUUCGGAAUUACUGGGCGUAAGCGCGCGUAGGCGGACUAGAAAGUUGGGGUGAAAUCCCGGGGCUCAACCCCGGAACGGCCUCCAAAACUCCCAGUCUUGAGUUCGAGAGAGGUGAGUGGAAUUCCGAGUGUAGAGGUGAAAUUCGUAGAUAUUCGGAGGAACACCAGUGGCGAAGGCGGCUCACUGGCUCGAUACUGACGCUGAGGUGCGAAAG